Molecule: transfer RNA, 76 nt
Filed under: Gammaproteobacteria bacterium
Lineage: Bacteria; Pseudomonadati; Pseudomonadota; Gammaproteobacteria
Description: tRNA-His
Rfam family: tRNA
About the family: Transfer RNA (tRNA) molecules are approximately 80 nucleotides in length. Their secondary structure includes four short double-helical elements and three loops (D, anti-codon, and T loops).
Source: RNAcentral
GUGGACGUAGCUCAGUUGGUAGAGCCCCUGGUUGUGGUCCAGGUGGUCGNGGGUUCGAGCCCCAUCGUCCACCCCA